GCUAACUUAUUGCAAGGUUUCUGUUUUUUCAGAUUCGUGGAUGUACGUGUUGCAUUUUGGCUUAGUGGACAGAAGAUUCAGGAGAGUGGAAUUUUUAUUCUGCUUUCACAAUGAUGGUGUAUAAACUGGAACAAGUCACUAAGUAUUUUACCUUUAAGUCUUUGUAUAAAAUAUACUACAUGCAAGGGUGACUUGGCUCACAAUUUGUUACCCAUGGACUGCCAAGUUUCGUUUGGCUGAUUGACCGACUUGGCCAACCAGUUGUAGAAAACAUCAUCUAAGCAAGCUUCAAAAUCAAGGGGAUGCAGAGAAAUAGAGAUGCUGAACAAUAACCAACAGCCUGUUUGGGAAUGUCCUCAAAGAUGUCAUCCAUGAAGUAGCCUAAUGAAACACCAGAAUAUGGAGCUAGGUACCAAAGGACAGAAGCAGGGAAGAUAUCAGAAGGGGCUGAAACUGCAGCUGUGUACCUCAUGGGACCUAAAUCUAUAAGCCUCUUCAUCAACUGGGAUAAACUUGACUUCUUAUCAUCAAUGGCAACAUCACUUGUUAUUAGUUCCCUAUUAAACAUGUCUGGUCAACAAAUUGUGUCAGCAGAAAUUGACAUUCUGAGAGUUUGUCACCAAUAACCAGCUGGAGUUGACCACAGCCAAUUAGCUCCAAGCUAUUCACAGCCUCAGUGGUGAUCUGCACAGACACUGGGAAAUGUUCCCAGGUGCUUUGGGAUCAAGUCUCCUAUGCGUUUUAAAGCCAGUUGGGCCUGUCCACCAAUGGUGUCAUCAAGGAGAUGUAUAAGUGAAUGAUGGAAUUCCAUCAAUUGGAGCUUCUAGGAUAGUGUUUGUUGUCCUCACAAUGUUUAUUCUCAGCACUCUACUUCUCAGGUUCCAAGUUCAUAAAGAAGACAUUAAAAACAAAACAAAACAAAAUUCCACUGCUUUACUUACAGAGUCCUCAAUCCAUAUAGACUGGUAAUACCAUCCACAAAACAGGCCUAAUCUCUCCUAGAUCAAUAGAGGUCAACUCCAAGAAUAUAAUAUCUAAAAUUGAGUCAUCAAUAUUUCUUGUUGCAGUAAAGACUGACAGUCAAGUAAUUUUUUUUGGAAACUACUGGUUGGGGCUGGAGGGAAAUGACAGUACUUAUGUGCACAUAAAGUAUUUUUGCAGCUUAUCCUCAGGUGACUUCUUGGAAGCUGAUGCCUGUGGACUUAUAGAAGCUCUGUUUUUUCAUCAAGUCCUUAGGAAAGCCAAAUUUCAAUUGCCACUUAGAGUUCCCAGAACUUGAAAGUGCCAGCCCCUAUAUUUCCAUAAUUCACUCAGACUCUCAUCCAAUAUGAAAUGCAAGGGACUAAUGUCUAAUGACAGUUUUUUUUUCACCUGGGAAAUACUAGCUUUCACUUGCUUGAGAAGUUCAAGAUGAAGGGGAAACAAAGCCUUCCUCCUGAUAGCAGAAACUCAUGGAAAUGUGAAUCCCUCGGUCUAGCCAGCGGUGAAAAGCAUCAGCAUAACUGUAGCCUUAGACCCAAAUUAAAACCAUCAGCUCAGCCUGACUGUGAUGUGGCCAUAACAUUUCACCACAUUAAAUGUGUGAUAACUGUGCAUGAACAGAGAAUCACUGGAUGACCUGAUGAAGUAGAGUCACACAGAGGUCCAUAUGGCACAAAAUUGUGGAUGGCCUCUAGGACCUGAGUACAGUCUCCAGCAGACAGCUUGCAAAAGCCAGAGCUCUCCAUCACAUAGCUGCGAGGAAAUGAAUUCUGCCAAUAGCCCAAAUAAGCUUGGAAGUAGGUUCCUCCCACAGGUGAAAAAGGAGCCUCGCUGACACCCAGCUUACAGUCCUUUGUGAUCUGGAGCAGGGGACCAUGCUCUGCUGGGCCUGGACUUCUGAUCCCAGGAACCUGAGACAGCAAAGGCAGGUACUGUUUCCAGCUGCUGUAUUUGUGAUAAUCUGUCACCGCACCAGUGGAACACCCAUACGCUGCCGUGAACCGUGUUUCUAUUCUUCUGCCUUGUUUCAGCACCUUGCUAACCUUCGGAACUCUGAUAACUAAGCAGGGCGUGAAGUUAAAGAGUUCUGGCCAUUAUCUUAAGAAAUGAUCUCAAAAGUUUUCAGAGUUUUGCCCAUGAGUUGAGGGAAAUCACCUUGAUGUCUUGUGUCUAAGAUGUCAGUGGUCAUAUAAGAAUUAUGACAGCCAACCAUCUCUGAAGUAGGUUGAUUCAAAUUCUGCCCAGUAGGAUAUUAACAGACGCCACCAAUGUCUUGCACAGAUCACUCCCCACUCAUGUGGGCCUAUUCACCCCACAAAUUCCUGCUACCAGUGCUUGUGACCCUAGCAGUUACUGCCCUGAUGUAUGAUCAAUUCAAGGGUGGAGCAGGCCAAAUCUUUCUGGGGAAUUAACCUCUCUGGGAAUAUCCCUUAGGCAAUGGUAGAUGGAAUGGGAAGAUAAGCGCCCCAGGUUCCUUGGUCCUCAAGUGCAGCCAUUCUAGGGAGCAUUUUGUAGCAUUUCCCACAAGUGUCCAGGGGGACUGAGACCUGGGUCCCAAAAUGAUAGCCUACACCUUAACACACUCUCUAUUGGUUCUUUCCCUUCCUGGCUCACUUCUCAGCCAUUACCUGUGGUUCCUGCAAUCUCCUCUCCAAGUAAGUGAUUUGAAUGAAUUACUUUUCUCAGGGUCUGCUUCUGGGUGAACUCAGCCAAAGAGGUACAAACAUUCUGUGUUAGAUAGACAUUUUGUAGAAACCCAAUUACAGACAAAAAUAAGCACAGAGGUUGUCUUAAAGAGUGCCCCUAAAAUGUUCUGGGCAAAGUGUAUGCAAAAAGAGAAAUACACUUACAAGAAAUGUGACUGGUUCUCUUCAUUAAACUCAGUAUUUACUAGCCAAACCUUGAUGAAUAAUUUGACCCCCAAAUACAAAUACUAGAAAGAUUGUGUUGGAUGAUAGACACUGAUAUUCUCCACUGGACAGUUAUCUCCCCUGUUGUGAACUUAUCUGCUAGCAUUCUGAUUUAUAUAUUAGUCUCUUAAGUUUGGUUAUUGUGAGUCAGUUUCAAACAUCCUGUUAAUUUGGGCAGCAAUCACUGUUUACUGAACUUAUCAUAGUGAUCAUUUCACAGAAAACAUGAAUAUUGAAUCAUUAUGUUGU
Long non-coding RNA from Suricata suricatta (meerkat), 3140 nucleotides. RefSeq lists it as uncharacterized. The transcript has 3 exons. Lineage: Eukaryota; Metazoa; Chordata; Mammalia; Carnivora; Herpestidae. The record is from RefSeq and is a predicted model, not a curated record.